Paramisgurnus dabryanus is the source of this 2227-nucleotide non-coding RNA. Lineage: Eukaryota; Metazoa; Chordata; Actinopteri; Cypriniformes; Cobitidae. The record is from RefSeq and is a predicted model, not a curated record.
ACCUCCAACAUCUUCACUCUCUCCUCCCCUAUAUUUCUCCUUCAUUAAACCCAUCUCUCCCCCCUUCCUUCUCAUCUUUUUUGCAUUUUUCAAUCACUUUCCAAAGUUACAAAUAUGGGCUGUGGAAAUUCAACAGCUACCAGUACUUCUCCAGCAGGUCCAGCUGACUCAGCCAAAGAUGUGCAAGAGGAUUCGUCUGUAGAUGAAGAGAAGAGGAGAAACUACGGUGGAGUUUAUGUUGGCAUACCUGCAGACCUCGUGACACCCGGCCAGAUACCUUCUACACACAAAGAAUAAUGAUGUUCAGAGCUGAAGACGCAGAUCAAGGGUUGUCCGAAGGGAAUCAGGGCUGAAAAGUGCUGUGCAAUAUUCUCAACGGGACAAAAUCUUAAUUGCUGAUUGGCUCAUCGGGACAUGACGGAGUCCUUCGAGAGCCAAUCGUUUAAUUGAACUCUCCGGAGACUGAACUGGAAUUAGAUUUGCUAUAGCGAGGUCAGAAGUCAGAGCACACUUUACAGGAAAUUGCUACCAGCACCUGGUUUCUCAGGACAGCGAUGCACAAGUGUUACGACAAUCAUGGAGCCACGACCAAAUAAACCCAGAGACUGAAGCAUGUUCGGUGGGCCUUAAUGUGAAACGCUCUCAUGAGCUCUCCUUAUAUUAUCUGUGAGGUGUCAAGCUGUUUAAAAGAAAGUUUCAAGGCAAUCUUUUGUCCUCUCAUCUAUUUUUUUUUCAUUUACCUGACUGUUUAACAUUAUAGAUCUUCAAGGACUGUGAAAGUAGGUCAGUGCUCACACAGGUAAGAGCAUGCAAUCUUGAGAAGAAGAAAGAAAGAUAAGUAUGUUGAGAGAGAGAGAGAAUCAUGAGAUGUCACUUGACAUUGUAAUCUGAGGACAAUUUUUUUCUUUGUAACGUCAGCAUGGAAUCAAAAUACACCCCGUUUACCCCCUAAAUGCACAUUUUUGUUUUCUUAUUAUGAAUGAGUCAUCAGAGCAUUUUGGGUAGCUCAGUCGGUAAAGCAUUGCGUUAGCAGCCCAAAGGUUAUGGGUUUGAUUUCCAGGGAACACACAUACUGAUCAAAUCUAUGGAUUUUUGCACUGUAAAGGGGGUUGCACACCGGCCGCACAGCUCAGCGUCGUGCCGCGUCGUGUCUAGGACAACUCGGAGGUAUCGUAAACCGGAAGUGCACAUUAAAUAGCGUGAGCUUUGUCAGAUAGCGUCUACUUCAAAAUGCAAAAUAUACGUUAGCAGCCAAUGUUAAUCGUUAAUGAUUUGGGAGAAAUAUGAUGUUAUUUAAUGCUAAACUAUGUGAGUGGCACUCUGUGGCGCGACAGGAAUUUCAGCAACUUCCUGAGUCGUAGCUGGGUGGCGCCGGUGUGCGUAUACUCAUAGAAAGCAAUGUGUUCAAGUUUUUUAGAACGGCGCUGAGUGUGCGUCCUGUGUGCGACCCCCUUUAGUCGCUUUGAAAACAAGCACCUGCCAAAUACAUCAAUGAAUUUGAAUGUAUGUCUACACUGUAAAUUCACAGCAUUUUUGUCAAAUCAACAUAUAUUUAUGUUUUACUUUAACCUAAAAAAAUAGGUUAAACAAUUUCAACUUGAAUUUAUAAGUUAUGUUAACUUUUUUAUGAAGCAAACUUAAUAUAGUAGUUUGAAAUGACUUUUUGUACAGUGUAUUAUUUUUUUGUAAGUUGAUUUAUAUUCCCAACUUUCCCAGCUUUGUUUGUUUAUAAACAUACAAAACCUAUGAAUAUGAAUGAAUAUGUCUACACUGUAAAAAAGUUGGUUUAAUUUACCUGGUUCCUUUAAAAUUUUGAGUUUAAUCAACUUGAAAAUAUUAGUUAAAAUAUCAUUACUCUUUUGAGUCAACUGAUUUUUUUUAGUUGAAUGAACUCAAAAUUUACCAGGUAAGUUAAACCAACAAAUAGUUUUUUUUUUACAGUGUAGGCAUGCAUGUGUAAAGUAAUUGUUGUGGAUUGUUUUUAACUGUGAUGAUGCUAAAUCCAGAACAAUAUAAGAUUAAAGGAAAACACCACCGUUUUGUAAUAGUUUACUAUGUUCUUAUCACAUUUACCAAUUAAUACAUCCCUAUCUUUUUUCAAUGAGUGCCCUUAAUCUUUGUACAGCACAUCAUGAAUGUGUUAGCAUUUAGCCUAGCCCCAUUCAUUCCUUAGGAUCCAAACAUGGAUGAAUUUAGAAGCCACCAAACACUUCCAUGUAUUCCCUAU